RNAcentral lists this ribosomal RNA (495 nucleotides) under uncultured bacterium. Its description in RNAcentral is "bacterial SSU rRNA". It matches the Rfam family "Bacterial small subunit ribosomal RNA", at positions 28 to 509 of the family's 1533-position model. The record is from RNAcentral.
GAUGAACGCUAGCGGCAGGCUUAAUACAUGCAAGUUGAGGGGCAGCAUGAUAUACGCGGGUAUAUUGAUGGCGACCGGCGGACGGGUGAGUAAUAGGUAGGAGACCUACCUCAUACAGGGGGAUAGCAUAGAGAAAUCUGUGGUAAUACCCCAUGAGGUUAUAUGAAUAGAGGCAUAUAAUCAAAGCAUAAGCGAUUAUGCGGUAUGAGAGGGGCCUACUGACCAUUAGCUAGUUGGUGAGGUAAGGGCUCACCAAGGCGAAGAUGGUUAGGGGUUUUGAGAGAGAGACCCCCCACAUUGGAACUGAGAGACGGUCCAGACUCCUACGGGAGGCAGCAGUAGGGAAUAUUGGGCAAUGGGCGAAAGCCUGACCCAGCCAUGCCGCGUGAAGGAAGACGGCCUUAUGGGUUGUAAACUUCUUUACUACGCGAAUAGAGGUUAGUACGAGAUACUAAUAGGAAGGUAGUGUAGUAAAAGCACGGCUAACUCCGUGCC